GUUGCCAGUCAUUAAGGUUGGGCACUACUAAGGAGACUGGCCGGUGUUAAACCGGAGGAAGGUGGGGAUGACGUCAAGUCCUCAUGGCCUUUAUGACCAGGGCUACACACGUACUACAAUGGCCGGUACAAAGGGCAGCGACACAGCGAUGUGAAGCGAAUCCCGAAAAGCCGGUCUCAGUCCGGAUUGGAGUCUGCAACUCGACUCCAUGAAGUUGGAAUCGCUAGUAAUCGCGGAUCAGCACGCCGCGGUGAAUACGUUCCCGGGCCUU
Molecule: ribosomal RNA, 271 nt
Filed under: uncultured Desulfocapsa sp.
Lineage: Bacteria; Pseudomonadati; Thermodesulfobacteriota; Desulfobulbia; Desulfobulbales; Desulfocapsaceae
Description: partial 16S ribosomal RNA
Rfam family: Bacterial small subunit ribosomal RNA
Source: RNAcentral